GAUGAAUCCUUGACAGAAGCUCGAUCUCUGUUUUGAACUCGAGGGCGCCCUGCAUCGAUCCCUGUUGAGCACGCUUUAUAGCCACUGCUUGCGCAGAUCUUCGAAUGAGAGCCAUUUCGCGCCCUGAAGUUGCGGGACAGCGCCGCUUUCUUUUGCAGGAUCCCACGAAGCUGCAUUCAUUUCGAAAGCAUAAUCGAUAUAUAUAUCUCUAUAUCGACAAAUCUGUGAUGUUUGUCAAAUUACGGAACUGAGAUUACCGAAUGGAUUGCUCUUCUCGAUGGCCCUUUUUGCCUUCCUCUUCUGUCGAAGAGCGUAGAUUCCAGCCAGGAGAAUCAGAAAUACGAGAAACGAACCGCCGAUCGCGGCUCCAAUGAUAAUGCCAACAUGCGACGACUCUUUCGAUCCUAACGAGGUUACCUCCGAAACAACAAUAUGGUUCAUCGAUGAAGAAGAACGGCCCGAAAUAUUCAAUCUGGAACGGUUGGCGAUUGAGAAUGAAUCCCAUGCUCGAAACCGAGGUUCGAUUGAACACAUCCACUGUAGAAGGAAAUAUUUGCAACGGGAACUUGAGGUAAGAAUAACUAUCUAUCGCUGGAUUACUGAGGAGAACCGUGUCGACAGGAAUCCCGUUCGAGCGGAAAGCAGUCAUAACAGCACCGUAAAGGAUAUUGUUGUAGCUCGCAUUCUGCAAAUCGGAGAAGGAAAAGGAAUAGAAAUGGAGAGUUCCGGUGUACGGAUUGGAGCAUCGGCAAUUUGGACUCAAAACUUUCCCUUUACGGCAAGACGUUUCCGUACAGUUAUUCAACGGUAAGAAUGUAUUUGGACGGCUCUCUAUCGUACAGUACUUAUCCUUUCCUCCAUUCGAGUUGCAGACAGGAUUUCCGGCGAGUCUGCAGGGGACAAAAAGCAUGAGAUCAAACUUGAUUUUUCGAUAUGAGAUUAACGAUCGACCGUCAAGUUGCUGCUGUAGCGAUCGCCGAUGUCUAAGGUACCGUUCAAGUCGUUGUUGCUGAGAAUUCUGAUGAAAAUGAACUGUCUCUAAUUGAGGAAGUCUGAAGAUUUCGACCGGGAUUUGCCCUCGAAGCGCCGUGUUCGCCAUCAUUCUGCAGUUGAAUCAGUUAGUGAGCAACUCGAUCCGAAUGCGUCUCAGACAGACGGAGGGAUGGAG
This is a long non-coding RNA of Andrographis paniculata, 1168 nucleotides long. RefSeq lists it as uncharacterized. The record is from RefSeq and is a predicted model, not a curated record. Lineage: Eukaryota; Viridiplantae; Streptophyta; Magnoliopsida; Lamiales; Acanthaceae. The transcript has 5 exons.